RNAcentral lists this ribosomal RNA (404 nucleotides) under Actinomycetes bacterium. RNAcentral describes it as "Actinobacteria bacterium partial 16S ribosomal RNA". It matches the Rfam family "Bacterial small subunit ribosomal RNA", at positions 355 to 776 of the family's 1533-position model. Lineage: Bacteria; Bacillati; Actinomycetota; Actinomycetes. The record is from RNAcentral.
UGGGGAAUAUUGGACAAUGGGCGCAAGCCUGAUCCAGCCAUGCCGCGUGAGUGAUGAAGGCCCUAGGGUUGUAAAGCUCUUUCUCCGGUGAAGAUAAUGACGGUAACCGGAGAAGAAGCCCCGGCUAACUUCGUGCCAGCAGCCGCGGUAAUACGAAGGGGGCUAGCGUUGUUCGGAUUUACUGGGCGUAAAGCGCACGUAGGCGGACUAUUAAGUCAGGGGUGAAAUCCCGGGGCUCAACCCCGGAACUGCCUUUGAUACUGGUAGUCUUGAGUUCGAGAGAGGUGAGUGGAAUUCCGAGUGUAGAGGUGAAAUUCGUAGAUAUUCGGAGGAACACCAGUGGCGAAGGCGGCUCACUGGCUCGAUACUGACGCUGAGGUGCGAAAGCGUGGGGAGCAAACAGG